CCCAUAGCGCAACCGGCGACCUCGUCCGCAUCCAUCGACCCGCUUGCCGUGCAGGUUCAUCAUCGGGAGCUGCAGCUCGUAUGGGUUGCAGCGAUGCUCAUCGCCUGCAAGUACGGGGAGAUCUAGGCACUGAAGGUCAAUGAUGCGCCCCUGGAGCCUAACACUGUUCUCAGUCUGGUCUUAAACUGGGGGUGGUCUUGGACAGCGCAUCUCCACGCAACCCUGGCCCACCGAGAUCAUGAUCGGCUACAGUCUGUCUCAGGUUCAUCAUCGGGAGCUGCAGCUCGUAUGGGUUGCAGCGAUGCUCAUCGCCUGCAAGUACAGGGAGAUCUAGGCACUGAAGGUCGAUGAUGCGCCCCUGGAGCCCACCACUGUUCUCAGUCCGGUCUUAAACUAGGGGUGGUCUUGCACGGCGCAUCUCCAUGCAACCCUGGCCCACCGAGAUCAUGACC
Molecule: long non-coding RNA, 452 nt
Organism: Lolium rigidum
Lineage: Eukaryota; Viridiplantae; Streptophyta; Magnoliopsida; Poales; Poaceae
Exons: 5
Source: RefSeq, a predicted model, not a curated record